CCUACGGGAGGCAGCAGUGAGGAAUAUUGGUCAAUGGACGAGAGUCUGAACCAGCCAAGUAGCGUGAAGGAUGACUGCCCUAUGGGUUGUAAACUUCUUUUAUAUGGGAAUAAAAUGUUCCACGUGUGGCAUUUUGUAUGUACCAUAUGAAUAAGGAUCGGCUAACUCCGUGCCAGCAGCCGCGGUAAUACGGAGGAUCCGAGCGUUGUCCGGAUUUAUUGGGUUUAAUGGGAGCGUAGGUGGAUUGUUAAGUCAGUUGUGAAAGUUUGCGGCUCAACCGUAAAAUUGCAGUUGAAACUGGCAGUCUUGAGUACAGUAGAGGUAGGCGGAAUUCGUGGUGUAGCGGUGAAAUGCUUAGAUAUCACGAAGAACUCCGAUUGCGAAGGCAGCUCACUGGACUGCGACUGACACUGAGGCGCGAAAGUGUGGGUAUCAAACAGGAUUAGAUACCCGAGUAGUC
RNAcentral lists this ribosomal RNA (460 nucleotides) under uncultured bacterium. Its description in RNAcentral is "partial 16S ribosomal RNA". It matches the Rfam family "Bacterial small subunit ribosomal RNA", at positions 338 to 795 of the family's 1533-position model. The record is from RNAcentral.